UGGGGAAUUUUGGACAAUGGGCGAAAGCCUGAUCCAGCAAUGCCGCGUGUGUGAAGAAGGCCUUCGGGUUGUAAAGCACUUUUGUCCGGAAAGAAAUCCUUGGCUCUAAUACAGUCGGGGGAUGACGGUACCGGAAGAAUAAGCACCGGCUAACUACGUGCCAGCAGCCGCGGUAAUACGUAGGGUGCAAGCGUUAAUCGGAAUUACUGGGCGUAAAGCGUGCGCAGGCGGUUUGCUAAGACCGAUGUGAAAUCCCCGGGCUCAACCUGGGAACUGCAUUGGUGACUGGCAGGCUAGAGUAUGGCAGAGGGGGGUAGAAUUCCACGUGUAGCAGUGAAAUGCGUAGAGAUGUGGAGGAAUACCGAUGGCGAAGGCAGCCCCCUGGGCCAAUACUGACGCUCAUGCACGAAAGCGUGGGGAGCAAACAGGAUUAGAUACCCUGGUAGUCCACGCCCUAAACGAUGUCAACUAGUUGUUGGGGAUUCAUUUCCUUAGUAACGUAGCUAACGCGUGAAGUUGACCGCCUGGGGAGUACGGUCGCAAGAUUAAAACUCAAAUGAAUAGAC
Molecule: ribosomal RNA, 566 nt
Filed under: uncultured bacterium
Lineage: Bacteria
Description: partial 16S ribosomal RNA
Rfam family: Bacterial small subunit ribosomal RNA
Source: RNAcentral